GUUUUAAUAAUUUAAUAAAAAUAUAGGUUUUGUAAACCUAAUUUAAGAAAAUAUCUUUUAAAACA
Molecule: transfer RNA, 65 nt
Filed under: Scolytinae sp. BMNH 1040319
Lineage: Eukaryota; Metazoa; Arthropoda; Insecta; Coleoptera; Curculionidae
Description: tRNA-Thr
Source: RNAcentral